Molecule: long non-coding RNA, 1718 nt
Filed under: Homo sapiens (human)
Lineage: Eukaryota; Metazoa; Chordata; Mammalia; Primates; Hominidae
Description: HSALNT0269327
Source: RNAcentral
GAAUGCAUCCCAGUGAUGCGGGGGGAGGAACAUCUUGCACUCAGAAAUAGCCUCAGUGCUUGUUCUCUGUCCUUGCAGUGUGUGACCAGAGGUGGGGGCCAAAGGCUUUGCACUGGGACCAUGAAGGAAGCUUUGUCUCUCCUGCUUUCUUCCUAUAAGGAGAAAUUACCUUGGGUCCUCCGGAAUAAUCCAGAAUAUUCUCCACAUGUCAAGGCCUAUAACCUAAUCACACCAGCAAAGUCCCUGUUGCCAUAUGUGUGCUGAGACCAGCUUGGUUGUGGAGACCCCAACCCAGCGGCACUAGAGGAAUAAAGACACGGACAAAGAAAUAGAGUGCAAAGUGGGAUCAGGGGGCUAAUGGCCUUCAGAGCUGAGAGCCUCGAACAGAGUUUGACCCACCUGUUUAUUGACAGUAAGCCCGUGAUAAACAUUGUUUCUGCAGUUUAUAGAUUAACUAAAAGUAUUCUUUACGGAGAACAAAGGGACAGAUUCUGGCUUGUUAUCUGCAGUAGAGACAUGUCCUUAAGGCACAGAUCGCUCAUGCCAUUGUUGUUUAGGAACGCCUUGAGCGGUUUUCCACCCUGGGUGGGCCAGGUGUUCCUUGCCCUCAUUCCGGUAAACCAGCAAUCUCCAGCAUGAGCGCCAUAGCCAUCACAAUCAUGUCGCAGUGUUUCAGAGAUCUUGUUUAUGGCCAGUCUUGGGGUCUGUUCCCAGCAGAUGUGAUUAAGAUUGUGGACCUUGAUACGGGGAGAUUACCGUGGAUUAUCUGGGCCAGCCUAAUCUGAUUACAUGAGUCCUUAAAAGUGGACAACGUUUCCCUGUUGCAGUGAAACAGUGACGUUAAAGAGAAGGCAGGACUGAUGAGAUGGGACAAAGACUUAACCUGCAGUUGCAGGUUUGAAGAUGAAAGGGAUCGUGAGUCAAGGAGUGUUGGUCUCCAAUUGCUGGGGGCACCCCCCAGCCAACAACCAGCAAAAAAAGUGGAGAGCUCAGCUCUACAACCACAUGGACCUGAAUUAUGUCAACAGUAACAGUGAGCCUGGGAUCUUAUUAUUAAUAUUUCCCAGACCCUUCAAUAAAGGAUCUGGCCUGCCAACACCUUGAUUUUCACCUAAGGAGAUUUAUAUUGAACUUCUGAUCUACAGAACUGUGAGAUAAUAAGUUGGAAUUCCCCUUCCCCCUUGCAUAUCCUUAGUUAAGACAUCUUUCAUCUGCUGAAGGCAAACAAGCCUCACUCAGAGAAGGACUCAGCUAAUUUCUGUCAGGCACCAGCACUUCUAGAAGCUGGGGAAAGAGCCCCUCUGUCCUAGUGAGUGGAAUCCAGGCAACACACCACAGUAUCCGCUACUCUUAUUGACUAAGUUAUAAAACUUACAAUUCUUUGUGUCCUUCAGAUUGUCACAAAGUUGACCAUGAAGUUUUCUCAUUUUGCUGAAUUCAUAAUUUAAAGGAACAUUGGUUGACAAAAAUAGAUAACAACGUUAUAUAAAGCGGAAUGGGAUAGAAGAAAAUUAAGUGCUCCAAGGACAGGUGGGCUAUUUUGCCACUGGAACCUUUCUCUUUGAAACAGAGCAAGAAAAUAACUCUUUAUGUAUGAUCUGAACCAUGGUAACAUGAAGGUUUUCUCUGUUAGAAAUGGCUUUUUUUUUUUUUUUAAAGUCAAGGCUUUUAUGGAAAACAUUGCUUUCAAAGAAAAAAGAGUGGGCCCUUGACUGACG